ACGGGGUGCAGCAGGCGCGAAAACUUUACAAUGCGGGAAACCGUGAUAAGGGAACUCCGAGUGCCCGUUAAAUCGGGCUGUCCGCCAGUUUAAAUAACUGACGAAGAAAGGGCCGGGCAAGACCGGUGCCAGCCGCCGCGGUAAUACCGGCGGCUCGAGUGGUGGCCACUAUUACUGGGCUUAAAGCGUUCGUAGCUGGUUUGUUAAGUCUCUGGGGAAAUCUGCCGGCUUAACCGGCAGGCGUCUCAGGGAUACUGGCAGACUAGGGACCGGGAGAGGUGAGGGGUACUCCAGGGGUAGGAGUGAAAUCCUGUAAUCCUUGGGGGACCACCUGUGGCGAAGGCGCCUCACCAGAACGGCUCCGACAGUGAGGGACGAAAGCUGGGGGAGCAAACCGGAUUAGAUACCCGGGUAGUCCCAGCUGUAAACGAUGCGCGUUAGGUGUAUCGGUGACCACGAGUCACCGAGGUGCCGAAGAGAAAUCGUGAAACGUGCCGCCUGGGAAGUACGGUCGCAAGGCUGAAACUUAAAGGAAUUGGCGGGGGAGCAC
This 550-nucleotide ribosomal RNA is filed under the name uncultured archaeon. Its description in RNAcentral is "bacterial SSU rRNA". It matches the Rfam family "Archaeal small subunit ribosomal RNA", at positions 325 to 879 of the family's 1478-position model. The record is from RNAcentral.